UGUAUGUAGCUCAGAGGUAAAGUGCUUGCGUAACAUGUGCUAGGCCCUGGGUUCAAUCCCCAGCACUGCAA
Molecule: transfer RNA, 71 nt
Filed under: Marmota monax (woodchuck)
Lineage: Eukaryota; Metazoa; Chordata; Mammalia; Rodentia; Sciuridae
Description: tRNA.Tyr
Source: RNAcentral